Molecule: ribosomal RNA, 253 nt
Filed under: uncultured bacterium
Lineage: Bacteria
Description: partial 16S ribosomal RNA
Rfam family: Bacterial small subunit ribosomal RNA
Source: RNAcentral
UACGAGGGGGGCUAGCGUUGCUCGGAAUCACUGGGCGUAAAGCGCACGUAGGCGGCUUCUUAAGUCAGGGGUGAAAUCCUGGAGCUCAACUCCAGAACUGCCUUUGAUACUGGGAGGCUCGAGUCCGGGAGAGGUGAGUGGAACUGCGAGUGUAGAGGUGAAAUUCGUAGAUAUUCGCAAGAACACCAGUGGCGAAGGCGGCUCACUGGCCCGGUACUGACGCUGAGGUGCGAAAGCGUGGGGAGCAAACAGG